UAGGGUGUGGUGUAAAGGUAGCACGAGGAAUUUUGGAUUCUUUGGUGUGGGUUCGAAUCCUGCGACUCUAG
This 71-nucleotide transfer RNA is filed under the name Cuniculus paca (Lowland paca). Its description in RNAcentral is "tRNA-Gln". It matches the Rfam family "tRNA". From Rfam's summary of the family: Transfer RNA (tRNA) molecules are approximately 80 nucleotides in length. Their secondary structure includes four short double-helical elements and three loops (D, anti-codon, and T loops). Lineage: Eukaryota; Metazoa; Chordata; Mammalia; Rodentia; Cuniculidae. The record is from RNAcentral.